This 465-nucleotide ribosomal RNA is filed under the name uncultured bacterium. RNAcentral's name for it is "partial 16S ribosomal RNA". It matches the Rfam family "Bacterial small subunit ribosomal RNA", at positions 28 to 507 of the family's 1533-position model. The record is from RNAcentral.
GACGAACGCUGGUGGCGUGCUUAACACAUGCAAGUCGUACGGUAAGGCCCUUUCGGGGGUACACGAGUGGCGAACGGGUGAGUAACACGUGAGUAACCUGCCCACAACUUUGGGAUAACGCUAGGAAACUGGUGCUAAUACUGGAUAUGUGCUCCUGCUGCAUGGUGGGGGUUGGAAAGCUCCGGCGGUUGUGGAUGGACUCGCGGCCUAUCAGCUUGUUGGUGGGGUAGUGGCCUACCAAGGCGGCGACGGGUAGCCGGCCUGAGAGGGUGACCGGCCACAUUGGGACUGAGAUACGGCCCAGACUCCUACGGGAGGCAGCAGAGGGGAAUAUUGCACAAUGGGCGCAAGCCUGAUGCAGCAACGCCGCGUGCGGGAUGACGGCCUUCGGGUUGUAAACCGCUUUCAGCAGGGACGAAGCUUUUUGUGACGGUACCUGCAGAAGAAGCACCGGCUAACUACGUG